GAUGAAGAACGUAGCGAAAUGCGAUAAUUAAUGUGAAUUGCAGAAUUCAGUGAAUCAUCGAAUCUUUGAACGCACAUUGCGCCCGCCAGUAUUCUGGCGGGCAUGCCUGUUCGAGCGUCAUUUCAACCCUCAAGCACAGCUUGGUGUUGGGACUCGCGUUAAUUCGCGUUCCUCAAAUUGAUUGGCGGUCACGUCGAGCUUCCAUAGCGUAGUAGUAAAACCCUCGUUACUGGUAAUCGUCGCGGCCACGCCGUUAAACCCCAACUUCUGAAUGUUGACCUCGGAUCAGGUAGGAAUACCCGCUGAACUUAAGCAUAUCAAUAAGCGGAGGA
This 332-nucleotide unclassified non-coding RNA is filed under the name soil metagenome. RNAcentral describes it as "partial contains 5.8S ribosomal RNA, internal transcribed spacer 2, and large subunit ribosomal RNA". The stretch from base 1 to 120 matches the Rfam family "5.8S ribosomal RNA", at positions 35 to 154 of the family's 154-position model. The record is from RNAcentral.